AAUUAAAGGCGUAGAAAUGAAGAUAACAGGGAAGCCUUACCUGGCGAUUCGAAGGCGCAGGCGACAGCAACAGCUCGAGCACUCCCGGAGAAUUCUCUCUUCCUCCUCCUCUCAGUCUCUUCCCCUCUGUUCGUGUGUUUCUGCUUGUUGGGUUUUUUACUUACUCUCUGCUUUCCUCUUCUGUUUGUGUUCUCUGCCGCUGUGUCCACUAUUCUCUCUUCUUCUCAGUUUAUUAAGGAAGGUAAUGGAUAUGCCGGCUUUCUCUAAGUUUUUUACUGACUUCGGGUUCUUCCUUUUUCUGAUUUGCAGGGGAAGGGGCGAUUGCGAAGACGAUGGUAUUAACGUUGGUUUUCUGGGUUUACUGCUUGUAUUGGUCUCUGUUUUUGCUGUGUGUACUGUUUCUUUUGUCUCUGUUUUAUGGGUUUCUUCUGUUUAUGCUGGGUUUUUUUUUUCCUCUGGUGUGCUUGCGUCCCGUCCCCUGGAGUUGGCUUUUCUUCUCCCUUUUAUAGAGAAGAUUGCCCCUCAACCAGUACUGCCCUUGCAGGACUGUUAUGGAAUCCACGACCGAGAUCGUGGGCAAGAGACGGGGUCAUGAUCGGAUUUGUUGCAGAUUUUCCGGUCUCCGGUUGAAUCGGGAUGGAGAAGAUACACGAUCCCCAACACGGCGCCGUUUCGGCAGAAAGUGAUAUUUUCAUUUUGACCCCUGCUUUCUUUGUAAAUUUUGAUAGUUGGACCUCAAUUAAAAUCCCUUUUAAUUUUACCCUUGUAUUAAUUUCAAUUAAGUCCCUGAAUUAAUUAAUCAAAUCAAAGUUUAAUUAAGUCCAC
RNAcentral lists this long non-coding RNA (825 nucleotides) under Populus tremula. RNAcentral describes it as "long non-coding RNA (PTRE_LNC001650)". The record is from RNAcentral. Lineage: Eukaryota; Viridiplantae; Streptophyta; Magnoliopsida; Malpighiales; Salicaceae.